UUAAUUGAAACCAAAAAGAGGUAUAUCACUGUUAAUGAUAUCAUUGAAUAAUAUUAUAUUCCAAUUAAG
Molecule: transfer RNA, 69 nt
Filed under: Ochlerotatus taeniorhynchus
Lineage: Eukaryota; Metazoa; Arthropoda; Insecta; Diptera; Culicidae
Description: tRNA-Asn
Source: RNAcentral